GCAACGCAGUCUCCAGGGGGCAUAACCUGGGCUGGCUCCAUCGUGCUUGGAACAGACCUCUCCUCUUUGCUUUCUUAGACGCCUCUGAGAGAAGCCCCAGCAGACAAGUAACCUGACCCAGACCUCUCAGCUCGCUCCAAAAAUGUCUCUCUCUGAAUCUGGGGACUGAGGCCUCGAUAUUUCAAACAGCUCCUGCGGAGACUGAGAGGACCUUCUGGAAGUUAAUAUCCUGAGUAUCUCCGAGAGCUGUUUCUCGAUAGUGGUCAUUUUGGCGUUCAGGGCCUUGAUGUCCUCCUUCAGCUCGUGCCUCACCUCCAGCACGGUGGCCUGCAGCGUCUGCUCGGGGAUGGGGUAGAAGGAGUGCUUGACCUCGGCCAGGACGGGGCUGCGGUCCUGGGGGCUCCGGGCCUCGCCCACGUUGUCCAGGCGCAAGUCGCUCUUGGUGAUGCCGCUGUCGCACGAGUCUGUCUUCUUCAGCGUGGCCUCGCCGGACGCCUUCGUCCUCUCAGGGAGGGUCUCCAUCGACUCAGCCUUGGACACCUUGUUCCAGUCCUCGCCCUUCCCGCAAGCAUCUUUGAAGCGGGCCCAGCCUUUGCGCUUGGCACAGUCGCCCCCGCCUCCCUUGGGGCCCAGGCACUCGGACCCUGGCGCGUGCAGCCUGGCGUGGUCCGGCACCCCGGAGGUGGAGGCCGCCUGGAAGGACACGGGUGUGGCAGGGCUCUCGCGGACCGUGACCACGCUGGCCUUCACGAGGCUGUGGUUGGCCGAGCCAUGCUCCGUGAGGACAUUGCCCUUCUCCACGUCGAGGUCAUCCAGGUCCCGGCCCCCGCGCUCUGCCGCCAGCCUGGCCUCUUUCUGCUGUCGGAAGCGCUGGAAGAGUCGCCGGACAGGGUGAUCUGGGGGCAAGAUCAGGGGGGCUUCGUUCUUCCGUUUCAUGCGCUCCUCCUCUUCCCGUUUCACGUCGCUGAUCUUCCGGAACACGAUCUGGAGUGAGAAAGAAUGACACGCUGUGUUAGCCACACUCAGCCCCUCUACCAGUCACAGCUCUCUCCUUCCCGCCCACUAAGGGUCUGGGACUCACAGCCUGCAAGGCCUCAGGAGGCUUUUCUCAGGCCUGACUUUCUUAUCACUUUCAUUUUCUAUGUACUCAACCCAUCAAAACCUUAGAUCCAUUAGAUGGUAUCCAUUGAUGACAAUCCUUCAUGCAGAGGACAGAGAGCCAAACAGCCUCAUGAAUUUGGCUCUGGAGUCCAGCAUUGGCCACAGAUUACAGGGCUCUCCCCUGCGCCAGCAUCAUCUCCAUCUGGAAAACCUUGUGCCCCCUGUGAGCAGCCCAGACCAACCCAGAACCUAAGUCUUGGGGAGGCACACAUGGUGGCAUUCCAGGAGCAUGGACUUUGGCAAGUUUAAGUCCCAGCCCACACCAUUAACCAUAUAGCCUUAGACACACACCUUAAAUUUCCGAAUCUCAGCUUCCUCCUUAAAAUAGGGGAAGAAUCUCUACUUUUCAGACUUAGGGUAAGGCUAACACAAACGUGAAAGCACUGGCCCACUGUUGAUGGAAGUGGAUCCUGCUGUCCUCACCCUGUUGAGGGCCCCAAAUGUAGAUGAUACAUAACUUACCCUGCGGCACUCCCCUGCACUCUGAUAGCACCACUCAGUAGGUUCUCAGAUAUGACCAACAAAAUGGUAAUUUUAUAGUACCCAACAUGGACGAGCCUAACAAACAUUUAAUUACUGCAUUUAAUGGAUGCUAGUGGUCAGCAGGUUGUAAAUUACUGGCAGACUGGAGCCCACACCUGUAAUCUAACUUCUUGGUCAAAACUCCUGUCACUAACAGGUCUGUGGGUGAUUAAAUCUUCAAGCCAUGUUACCUGGGUCCCAAUAUGUGGCUCUCUGACCUCCACUGCACAGCCUUACUCCUGUCCCUUCCCCUUGUGAGCUGGGACUUUAUAACCCUGCCUCCCCCUGGGUCCCUCCUCAGCAAUACCCCAUCUGUCCUUGUGGUCCAGCCUGCAGCUCCAAACCACGUGACUCAAGAGAACCUGUCCACUCUGAAGAGGGCUGGAGAAACCCAACUAAAGGCAUCAGGGCUAUGGUUAAGUGGAACCAUCAGGACUCUUUUCACCCAUUCUCCUAAUGCUCUGAGUUGCAUGACUGGCAGUCUUCCACCU
Long non-coding RNA from Lemur catta (Ring-tailed lemur), 2174 nucleotides. RefSeq lists it as uncharacterized. NCBI's taxonomy places the organism in Eukaryota, Metazoa, Chordata, Mammalia, Primates, Lemuridae. The transcript has 3 exons. The record is from RefSeq and is a predicted model, not a curated record.